UAAAACCCAUCAAAACCAGUUAAAAACCAGUUAAAACCAGUUAAAACAUUAAAACCAGUUAAAAACCAGUUAAAACAG
Corvus hawaiiensis (hawaiian crow) is the source of this 78-nucleotide long non-coding RNA. RefSeq lists it as uncharacterized. Lineage: Eukaryota; Metazoa; Chordata; Aves; Passeriformes; Corvidae. The record is from RefSeq and is a predicted model, not a curated record. The transcript is spliced from 2 exons.